AUGAGGAGUGGAAAAGGUUCAAAAGAAGGACUAGAUACAGCAGAAGCAGAGAUACCCAGCAGGAAGAACAGCCUCGCGGCUGUCCUGUCCUCGUCCUCGACAUCUACUAAAAUAAAAGUACCAAUCCCUCAGCCCGUCGUCCCUGUGAAGAAAGACAAACGGCAGAAUUCUUCACGCUUUAAUGCCAGCAGUAAUAGAGAGCUACAAAAACUCCCAUCUUUAAAAGAUGUGCCUCCUGCAGAUCAAGAGAAGCUUUUUAUCCAGAAGCUACGCCAGUGUUGUGUCCUCUUUGACUUUGUCUCUGACCCACUGAGUGACCUGAAGUGGAAGGAAGUAAAGCGGGCUGCGAUAAGCGAGAUGGUGGAGUAUAUCACCCACAACCGGAACGUGAUCACAGAGCCCAUUUACCCCGAGGCCGUCCACAUGUUUGCAGUUAACCUGUUCCGAACCUUGCCACCUUCCUCCAAUCCUACAGGAGCAGAAUUCGACCCAGAAGAAGAUGAGUCAACGUUAGAAGCAGCCUGGCCUCAUCUGCAGCUUGUUUAUGAAUUUUUCUUAAGAUUUUUAAAGUCUCCAGAUUUCCAGCCCAAUAUAGCAAAGAAAUAUAUUGAUCAAAAGUUUGUAUUGCAGCUUCUAGAGCUCUUUGACAGCGAGGAUCCUCGUGAGAGAGAUUUUCUAAAAACCACCCUGCACAGAAUCUAUGGGAAGUUCUUAGGCCUGCGCGCUUCCAUCAGGAAACAGAUCAAUAAUACAUUUUAUAGGUUUAUCUAUGAGACAGAGCACCACAAUGGCAUAGCAGAGUUACUGGGGAUCCUGGGGAGUAUAAUUAAUGGAUUUUUACCACUAAAGGAAGAGCACAAGAGUUUCCUGUUGAAGGUGUUGCUGCCCUUGCACAAAGUGAAAUCCCUGAGUGUCUACCAUCCCCAGCUGGCGUACUGUGUCGUGCAGUUUUUAGAGGACAGCACCCUCACUGAACCAGUGGUAAUGGCACUUCUCAAAUACUGGCCAAAGACUCACAGUCCAAAAGAAGUAAUGUUCUUAAAUGAGUUAGAAGAAAUUUUAGAUGUAAUUGAACCAUCAGAAUUUGUGAAGAUCAUGGAGCCUCUUUUCCGACAGUUAGCCAAAUGUGUUUCUAGCCCUCACUUCCAGGUGGCAGAGCGGGCGCUAUAUUACUGGAACGAUGAGUACAUCAUGAGUUUAAUCAGUGACAAUGCAGCGAAGAUUCUGCCCAUCAUGUUUCCGUCCUUAUACCGAAACUCAAAGACCCACUGGAACAAGACAAUACACGGCUUGAUAUACAACGCCCUGAAACUCUUCAUGGAGAUGAGCCAAAAACUCUUUGAUGACUGCACCCAGCAGUUCAAAGCAGAGAAACUCAAAAAGAAGCUAAAAAUGAAAGAGCGAGAAGAAGCAUGGGUUAAAAUAGAAAAUCUAGCCAAAGCGAAUCCC
Molecule: RNA transcript, 1449 nt
Organism: Mastomys coucha (southern multimammate mouse)
Lineage: Eukaryota; Metazoa; Chordata; Mammalia; Rodentia; Muridae
Gene name: serine/threonine-protein phosphatase 2A 56 kDa regulatory subunit gamma isoform pseudogene
Exons: 2
Source: RefSeq, a predicted model, not a curated record